This 403-nucleotide ribosomal RNA is filed under the name bacterium. RNAcentral's name for it is "partial 16S ribosomal RNA". It matches the Rfam family "Bacterial small subunit ribosomal RNA", at positions 355 to 776 of the family's 1533-position model. The record is from RNAcentral.
UGGGGAAUAUUGCACAAUGGAGGGAACUCUGAUGCAGCGACGCCGCGUGAACGAAGAAGGCUUUCGAGUCGUAAAGUUCUUUUAUAUGGGAAGAUAAUGACGGUACCAUAAGAAAAAGCCCCGGCUAACUACGUGCCAGCAGCCGCGGUAAUACGUAGGGGGCUAGCGUUGUCCGGAAUCACUGGGCGUAAAGGGUUCGCAGGCGGAAAUGCAAGUCAGGUGUAAAAGGCAGUAGCUUAACUACUGUAAGCAUUUGAAACUGCAUAUCUUGAGAAGAGUAGAGGUAAGUGGAAUUUUUAGUGUAGCGGUGAAAUGCGUAGAUAUUAAAAAGAAUACCGGUGGUGAAGGCGGCUUACUGGGCUCAUUCUGACGCUGAGGAACGAAAGCGUGGGUAGCAAACAGG